UACGGAGGGAGCUAGCGUUAUUCGGAAUUAUUGGGCGUAAAGGGCGCGUAGGCGGCCCGGUAAGUCAAAGGUGAAAUCCCUCGGCUCAACUGAGGAACUGCCUUUGAAACUGUCGGGCUUGAGGCCGGGAGGGGGUAGCGGAAUUCCCAGUGUAGCGGUGAAAUGCGUAGAUACUGGGAGGAACACCAGUGGCGAAGGCG
Molecule: ribosomal RNA, 200 nt
Filed under: uncultured bacterium
Lineage: Bacteria
Description: partial 16S ribosomal RNA
Rfam family: Bacterial small subunit ribosomal RNA
Source: RNAcentral